RNAcentral lists this ribosomal RNA (253 nucleotides) under uncultured bacterium. Its description in RNAcentral is "partial 16S ribosomal RNA". It matches the Rfam family "Bacterial small subunit ribosomal RNA", at positions 524 to 776 of the family's 1533-position model. The record is from RNAcentral.
UACGUAGGGUGCGAGCGUUAAUCGGAAUUACUGGGCGUAAAGCGUGCGCAGGCGGUUCGUUAAGUUCGUUGUGAAAGCCCCGGGCUCAACCUGGGAACUGCAAUGGAAACUGGCGGGCUUGAGUGUGGCAGAGGGGGGUGGAAUUCCAGGUGUAGCGGUGAAAUGCGUAGAUAUCUGGAGGAACACCGGUGGCGAAGGCGGCAUCCUGGACCGGCAUUGACGCUGAGGCGCGAAAGCUAGGGGAGCAAACGGG